GCCUGAUAUUCAUAUGAUGAAGACAUAAUCUUUCAAAUGGACGUCAAGUUGGUUACUUAUCUCUCAAUCAGUUUAAUUGAAGUUUGGAGCUGGCAUGUUAGUAACUGCUAGUAGUCUGUUGUUAUUUAUGUAUUAUUGUCAUUUUGUUUAUUUUCUUUUGUUUCAUAUUCUGACAUCAGACUUCUCUUAAACAGGCAUGGGGUAAUCGUAAUCAGCUGUAAUCGAUUACAUUUUGCAGUGUAAUCCUAUGUAAUCAGUAAUCAUGCCAUUUCUGAUUACAAGUAAUCAUAAUGUAAUCGAUUACAUUGCAAAAAACAGGUGUAAUCAUGAUUACUUUUAGAUUACUUUAAGAUUACAUUCAUAUGAUUACUUGCUGAUUACAAAUCUU
Molecule: long non-coding RNA, 388 nt
Filed under: Mytilus galloprovincialis (Mediterranean mussel)
Lineage: Eukaryota; Metazoa; Mollusca; Bivalvia; Mytilida; Mytilidae
Source: RNAcentral